Long non-coding RNA from Alosa sapidissima (American shad), 630 nucleotides. RefSeq lists it as uncharacterized. The transcript is spliced from 5 exons. NCBI's taxonomy places the organism in Eukaryota, Metazoa, Chordata, Actinopteri, Clupeiformes, Clupeidae. The record is from RefSeq and is a predicted model, not a curated record.
UUUUUAUGUACCUCUAUCAAAAGGUGCAUGACGCUUUUGCGUGUUCAGUUCGGUGGAGAGCAAAAAGGUGUGAAGCUGUCUGAACCAACAUUUGAUGCUUUCUUGAAAGAAGUUGGUGGGUCAGGCCAUGGUUGACAAAGUGCCAUCUGAUGAGAUGAUGAAAACGACCUUCAUACCGGGACUGAUAGAACAGGAUUUCAGACUUCUGUUUGAUGAGACAACGGCCAACAAAUUCUUGGAGAGGUGGCCAACCACUUUCAAAGCAAAAGUAAUAAAGGAGAGCCAUGGACUUGUACCCACCACAGAACUCUUGGACUUGAUGCACAAUGCUGAGUCAGCUGCUCAAGUUGAGAAUGGACAGAAGCAGCUUCAGGGCUCGAAGGAAGAGAAGAGAAGAGAAAGGACUGACCCUGAAGUACUGACCCUGAAGUACUGACUCUGAAGUACUGACUCUGAAGUACUGACCCUGAAGUACUGACUCUACAGCGUGUUUUCGAACUUCCUCCACAAUAUGGCCACACACCACAUGCAGAGCAAGAUGGCAACAUUGACUCAGAGCCAACGUAUCAAACUUCUGGCCAGGUCCAUGCUGAAACCAGGCAUGCAUGUUAUGGGCAGUUGAGUGAUGAU